Molecule: ribosomal RNA, 743 nt
Filed under: uncultured bacterium
Lineage: Bacteria
Description: bacterial SSU rRNA
Rfam family: Bacterial small subunit ribosomal RNA
Source: RNAcentral
AGCGGCGGAUGGGUGAGUAACACGUGGGGAACCUGCCCCUAAGUCUGGGAUACCAUUUGGAAACAGGUGCUAAUACCGGAUAAUAAAGCAGAUCGCAUGAUCAGCUUUUGAAAGGCGGCGUAAGCUGUCGCUAAGGGAUGGCCCCGCGGUGCAUUAGCUAGUUGGUAAGGUAACGGCUUACCAAGGCGACGAUGCAUAGCCGAGUUGAGAGACUGAUCGGCCACAAUGGAACUGAGACACGGUCCAUACUCCUACGGGAGGCAGCAGUAGGGAAUCUUCCACAAUGGGCGCAAGCCUGAUGGAGCAACACCGCGUGAGUGAAGAAGGGUUUCGGCUCGUAAAGCUCUGUUGUUGGAGAAGAACGUGCGUGAGAGUAACUGUUCACGCAGUGACGGUAUCCAACCAGAAAGUCACGGCUAACUACGUGCCAGCAGCCGCGGUAAUACGUAGGUGGCAAGCGUUAUCCGGACUUAUUGGGCGUAAAGCGAGCGCAGGCGGUUGCUUAGGUCUGAUGUGAAAGCCUUCGGCUUAACCGAAGAAGUGCAUCGGAAACCGGGCGACUUGAGUGCAGAAGAGGACAGUGGAACUCCAUGUGUAGCGGUGGAAUGCGUAGAUAUAUGGGAGAACACCAGUGGCGAACGCGGCUGUCUGGUCUGCAACUGACGCUGAGGCUCGAAAGCAUGGGUAGCGAACAGGAUUAGAUACCCUGGUAGUCCAUGCCGUAAACGAUGAGUGCUAGGUGU